GUUGAUGUACUUUCUAUUCACUCUUUCUACUGGCUGUGUAGGAAAUCAACGAAUUGAAUUUUCAACAUUUUACCUAAAAAACAAUAUAAACGUGAUUUAAAAAAUUCAAUCAAGUGAUUUUUUUCUCUUCUAGAUUUCAUGUUUUAUCUUUAUGUUUAAUUAUAAACUUUGUUUAUUUUUUAAUAUUUUUAGUAUUUUAAAAAUAAUUUUAUAAAAUAUUCAAUUGAGAAAUACAGAUUUAUGUUC
RNAcentral lists this long non-coding RNA (246 nucleotides) under Lathyrus oleraceus (garden pea). RNAcentral's name for it is "Pisum sativum (pea) long non-coding RNA (PSAT_LNC032100)". The record is from RNAcentral. Lineage: Eukaryota; Viridiplantae; Streptophyta; Magnoliopsida; Fabales; Fabaceae.